RNAcentral lists this ribosomal RNA (261 nucleotides) under uncultured prokaryote. RNAcentral's name for it is "partial 16S ribosomal RNA". It matches the Rfam family "Bacterial small subunit ribosomal RNA", at positions 524 to 784 of the family's 1533-position model. The record is from RNAcentral.
UACGUAGGGUGCGAGCGUUGUCCGGAAUUAUUGGGCGUAAAGAGCUUGUAGGCGGUUUGUCGCUUCUGCUGUGAAAAUCCGGGGCUCAACCCCGGACUUGCAGUGGGUACGGGCAGACUAGAGUGUGGUAGGGGAGACUGGAAUUCCUGGUGUAGCGGUGAAAUGCGCAGAUAUCAGGAGGAACACCGAUGGCGAAGGCAGGUCUCUGGGCCACUACUGACGCUGAGAAGCGAAAGCAUGGGGAGCGAACAGGAUUAGAUA